GGAGGAAUAUUGCACAAUGGGCGCAAGCCUGAUGCAGCCAUGCCGUGUGUAUGAAGAAGGCCUUCGGGUUGUAAAGUACUUUCAGCGAGGAGGAAGGGGGAGUGGUUAAUAACCAUUUUCAUUGACGUUACUCGCAGAAGAAGCACCGGCUAACUCCGUGCCAGCAGCCGCGGUAAUACGGAGGGUGCAAGCGUUAAUCGGAAUUACUGGGCGUAAAGCGCACGCAGGCGGUCUGUCAAGUCGGAUGUGA
RNAcentral lists this ribosomal RNA (250 nucleotides) under uncultured bacterium. RNAcentral describes it as "partial 16S ribosomal RNA". It matches the Rfam family "Bacterial small subunit ribosomal RNA", at positions 355 to 597 of the family's 1533-position model. The record is from RNAcentral.